UCUUAUCAAGAGUGGUUGAGGGACUGGCCCUAUGAAACCCAGCAACCUGUUAAUAGUUAAAAGUUAGCAGUUAGAAGUUUAUAUAAAAACUACUAAUUAAAAAUUCAAAACUAUCAACGUGGUGCUAAUUCCUGCAGCUUUAUUAGCUGAGCGAUAAGA
RNAcentral lists this non-coding RNA (159 nucleotides) under Clostridium saudiense. RNAcentral's name for it is "SAM riboswitch (S box leader)". It matches the Rfam family "SAM riboswitch aptamer (S box leader)". Rfam says of the family: The SAM riboswitch is found upstream of a number of genes which code for proteins involved in methionine or cysteine biosynthesis in Gram-positive bacteria. Lineage: Bacteria; Bacillati; Bacillota; Clostridia; Eubacteriales; Clostridiaceae. The record is from RNAcentral.